Molecule: unclassified non-coding RNA, 332 nt
Filed under: soil metagenome
Description: partial contains 5.8S ribosomal RNA, internal transcribed spacer 2, and large subunit ribosomal RNA
Rfam family: 5.8S ribosomal RNA (bases 1-120)
Source: RNAcentral
GAUGAAGAACGUAGCGAAAUGCGAUACGUAAUGUGAAUUACAGAUUUCAGUGAAUCAUCGAAUCUUUGAACGCACAUUGCGCCCGCUAGUAUUCUGGCGGGCAUGCCUGUUCGAGCGUCAUUUCAACCAUCAAGCCCUAGGCUUGCGUUGGAGCCCUGCGGCUGCCGCAGGCUCCCAAAUCCAGUGGCGGGCUCGUCGUCGUACCGAGUGCAGUAAACAUCCUCGCUCAGGGAACGUGACGGGUUCUUGCCGUGAAACCCCCCACAUAUCAAGGUUGACCUCGGAUCAGGUAGGAAUACCCGCUGAACUUAAGCAUAUCAAUAAGCGGAGGA